This is a non-coding RNA of Xyrichtys novacula (pearly razorfish), 8461 nucleotides long. Lineage: Eukaryota; Metazoa; Chordata; Actinopteri; Labriformes; Labridae. The record is from the annotation of a GenBank genome assembly.
GGCUUGGUCUUUGAGGAUCCUUUGGCCUUCUUUGUUGAAUUUUGGAAGUGACAUAAAUGUUUCUCUGCUUGAGCUGCAGCUGUGGGAAAUCCUACGGGUUGAAACCUGAUUGGUUUGUUUACGUAGUGAUUAUAAUUUGUAAAAGAUCAUACACCUCUUCACUUUUUCCUGUAAAAACAAAAAUUCAGCCCUGAUGACAUUUACUUGUAAUGUGACAGAUUUCCUGGCCUUGUUUUGGGUCAAACUUAUCAGAGGGAAGGCUGACAGCAGCACGUCACACAACCAAAAGACAACGCAGCCUGUGUGAACAUCCUGAGAGCACAAGCUGGAUCUGUGUGAAACCCAGAUGAAUGCUGAACAGCCUGCUUUACCUCAAAUUCUGCCCACAUAUUAUUCCUGUGAAGUUUCCUAUGUCAUGGUAUUUCUGUCACAUGGGCCGGUUGGCCAAUCAUUGUUGGGCUUUUUGUGAUGUUGUGUGGUCACGUGGGUCAGCAUGGCCAGCAAGGUGCAGUAAUUAUGCCAUGUGGUUUAGUCUGAGGAGGAGCAGUGGGGGCGCUGCAUGAAAGCUGAGCUACAGGAGCCUUCUAUGUGCCUAAACAGUGAAGAAUGUGUCAUGUUUGGUGUAAACCAUGGACUGACCAGGUUCCUAACCGAUAGAGAGCUAAGGGAGGAGUCUCCUCUCUGCACCUGUCCUGCCAGGCUGGUAGGGGGCUCUCGUAGGGGGCUCACAUAAGAACUUUCACACUCAUUCUGCCCACCGCCCAUCAUCGACACACAUUUUACCCACAAAACUGUCUCACAAAUAUCCCCCCUGGACUCAACCUCAAACACAGACAUGUAUUUUGUAUCUAUACUGAACUUGGGUUUUUGGAGAUAUUGAACAACUUGACUCUCUAUUAUAUUUUAUUAUUUUUAUAUUUUAUAUUAUAUUGAUAUCUAUUUGUCAUGUCUGACUUUACUAACUGUGCUUCGUGAAUGAUUAAUGUGCAUAAGUAAGUUGACUGAAGAGCGUUAAUUUAUUUGAUUGUCUAUUCUUAGGAAGUCUUCCUUUGAUUUCCGUCCCUCUAUAUAGUUGUACUUUAUUUGCCAUGUGUCAUUUAUUCUACCUCACAAUAUAUGGCACCAUCCAAAAGCAACCUCAGUCUCUUGUCCAGUCUCUCCUUGACAGAUCCUAGACUUCUGAUUACAAGCCUAUUACAACGCAUUACUGUGUAAAAACGUUACACAGACGUCAUGAAAUAUUUAUACAAUACUAAGUCUUUGCACCAUCUUAGUUCGACAUAGUUGCUCAAUGUGUCCCUAACACAUCGAGCACACUUGUGUGAAGCAGGGUUUGCCUCCCCUUCAUGGUUAGGUACUCUCCAUAAGGUUUCCAUCCACGUGUUCAGAACUGCUUCUUUGCAUUGGUCACAUGAUACACCAUCUACAUAUUUAUGAGUCCAUGGGCACCUGUCUCAGGAAGAUGGUAGUUUUUCCAUGGCUGCGAUUUUUGAUGGUUUAUAAACCUUAGAAAUACAACACUGAUCUAAAAACUUUGUUUAUGUUUCUUUUGCACUUGCAGACUAUUUGGUGACAUUGAAACAUGUCUGUAAGUCCUCCCCACUACAGAAACCAUGUGGGUGACGAUCUGUUCUGGUCAGCCUCUGAAUAACAGUCCCCUCACAUGCUUGCUUAAGGCGGAGGAAUCUCCCCUAAAGCUAUCCAGUCACCCUCCAGUUUGGGGCCUGUUUCUGCUAACUGACUGUUAGCAUGCUUGAUAGCCUGAAAAAGAACAGAAAGUGUUGCUCUAAAAUGUCAGCGCUGUCAAAACACCGUCAUGUGGAUCAACAUUGUAAAUAUGCAUGCCACAAUAGCUGUGUUAACCCUCACAGAUUUAGCUGCUACUCCUGUUCAAGUAAUUCCAGUGAUUAAGAUAGAUAGAUAGAUAGAUAGAUAGAUAGAUAGAUAGAUAGAUAGAUAGAUAGAUAGAUAGAUAGAUGCUUUUUUUCCUGGUUUUGGUCAGGGGAUUUUCUUUUAUUCAUCAUUUUUCUCAAGACACUGUUAGACCUGAAGUGAUUACUACAUCAAACUGAUGAAAGUGUUUCUGUAUUUUAUAUAGUCCAGAGAAAGUCAUUUAAUUUUGUAAUGGUCCAUAUCAAGUCAGUGUCAUUUAUCAUAAUUUCACUUACAUAUGACAAAGACAAAAAACAAAACAAAAAAAAAACACACAUUUUCUAAAAAGUGUGUUUCUCAUGUUUCCAACUUUAAAAAACAGGCUCUAUACUUCCAGUUUCUUGUUUCAGGUUUAAGUUGGAAAACUAAAAAUCAAAACCUGCUUUCACCGCAUACAGAGAACUGUGUUCGAUUCAAUCUUUUUUAUUGCAAUGACAUCACUUACUUGACUUUAUCCACUUUAUUCCUAGCUCCCAUGAUGCUUUGUGUAAAUUACUGGUGCGUCUUUUGAUGGCUUUUGUCACUGGAUGUGGAGCUGGCAUUUUCCAUAGCAACUGUACACCAAUCACUGUUAUUAGAGUGAUCAGAUGUUAAAACAAUAUGGGAACAUCAUCUGUCCCUGUUUGGAAACCAGGUGUUUUAGUCUGGACUUGAAAGCACAACUGGAGGCAGAUGAGGCAGUUAAGUAAAUUUACUGAAGGCAAAAAGGUGGAGAGGAGGGAUCCAGGGUCCAUGACAUGGGGGGAGUGAGGCAGAGGUGGAGGUUUGGUGGUAGCACUGAAGGCUCAUGGAGGCACUGGGAUAGAUGGAGGGAAAACUAAAUUAAUUACCUGAAAAACACAAAAGGCUGGAAAGCUCAAACAAUUUGCAAAUUUGCACGAGAGCUCUCGGAAACUGGCUGAGAUACCACAUCAGAUGCUGGAAUAAUCUGGCACUGGAGGAGCAUCACAGCAGGGCUGAAGUGCAGGUGGUGAUUGCAGUAAUCUGGUGCAGGUAGAGCCAGUGCAGAAGAAAGCUGUCCAAUCUCUGUGAGGAAUAGAGAGACAAACUCCACACAAGAAAAGUCCAGAAAUGCCAAACCAUGUUGUAACCACCACAGUUACACCUUAAACAGGACAAUGUUACCACUGCUGCCCUCCUCUAUCGAGGGAUAGAAAGGUGAUAUAUUAAAUGGCCUGAAAUGACAAAUACUAGCAUAUGUAGCCAGGUUUUUAGCCCCAUUGCUGUCAAUGGGGAGGCUGAGGCUUAUCUGUACUUAUAUGGCUACAAAGAUGGUUGUGUUCCAUUAUAAGAGGUUGGACAUGAUCUUAUGUAGAGCAGAUGUAGAGCCAAGUCAGAGCCUGUGGAAGGUGUGUUAGUAUUUUGGCAGAUUUUUACUCACUAAUCACACACAAAAUCAUUAAAUAAAUACAUUUUUAAUCACUGUGACUGUAUUUAACACAGGAAAUUCUCUAAUGUAGGUAUAUUUCUCAUGUGUUUCAUUUCCUCAUUGAGCCCUUGUGAUGCUGUUUCCUGUUUUCUUAGUUCUUUUACUUAUUUAAUAUUUUAAAUUCAUAAUAAUAAUAAUAAUAAUAAUAAUAAUAAUAAUUAUAAUUAUUAUUAUUAUUAUUAUUAUUAUUAUUAGUAGUAGUAGUAGUAGUAGUAGUAGUAUUACAGCUCUCGUUUACCUACGAUAAUAUGAAUUGGAUAGUGUGUAUGUGUGUGGCGCGGUCUCUUGUUAUUAAUUUCCUUUUCUUUUCAUGUUCUGCACUUAACGCUGGAUUAUUAUUGUCUGAAAAGUGCUUUAUAAAUAAAGUCUGAUUGGUGUAUGAGUUUCAUCUGUCAGACAGACACAGUCUCUGCAGGUUUCUUCAGGUUUAGAUUUAGGAGGGGCAUCAGGUAGCACCACUGUAGUCACCUAGCAGCAGGUCAAACAUAGUGGUGCGACAGUAGUAAACCAACUGCUGCAGUAUAAAUUCUACAUAAUGAACCUUUAAAUCUUGAGACAAGUGGGUUUAAAAAUGCACACUUAACCAAAGCUUGGUUUCAUUAUCUGACUGCAGCAACAAACGAACAGCUUGUUCGGACCUUGGAGCUCUUGUUUGGUUGAUCAGGGGCCUGUUCUACGAAGCAGGUUCAACCUAGCAAGGUAGCCUUUGAGCUUCCUCGCUCAACUUAGCGCGGUACCCAGCGGUCUCGCUAAGCGGUUUUACGACGCUGGUUAUCAACCUCAUAAGUGGAUCCAGCUCUGCUAUGAGCGCGUGCACACAUAUAAGGCAGAGCCCGCCGCAUCUGACCAAUCACGAACAUGGAUCAGUCUGGAGCGUCAGAGCAGGACGGAGAGUGAAGGACCGCAGACUUUACAAACGAGGAACAGGAGACCAUCAUGAGAAAGUAUGAAGAAUUGAAAGCUAUCAUAAACCUCAAUAGCAACACCGUCGCCGCCGCAAAAGCACGGAGGGAUUGCUGGCAGAAAAGUAAUCUUUGAUGUCAUUAUCACCCUGAAAUAGCACUGUUCAACAUGCGCUUUUAACUAAGGUGACAGUCCCCGAAUUGGAUGAUCUGUCCCCGGCUAAAGCUGUCCCCGAAAAUGUCCCUGAUUGAAGCGUUUCAUGAAUGAGAACAAAAAUGUUGCACGUGGGCUCGAACAACGGUUAUUACAGUGGGUAGGAAGCACAAGUAAGCAGUCCUGAACAACAGUAUUUACGGGGGUUAUUAUAAGGGGCGUGCGCUGCUACUAAAUAGUACCGAGAUGUUGUCUGUGAUCUCGCAGCCCAUGCCCAUUCAUUCCCAAGAUGAAUCAUUCAUGUGUUCAUUCCUAUCGUGUUUACAUGUUUUGUGUAAUAUGUCAGCCAUAUGAGCCUUUCAUAAAGGUUGUCAUCCGGAGAAAACUCUCCCUGAAAACUCUCGCGAGCCGGAGUGCUCCUCCACGGACAAUGCGAGCACCGAGGUCUAUAGGAUCCUCCAAGAACGGACACGCCGUUUUUCGAGAGAGCUCAUUGGUCAGUGGGCGGGGUUCUUAUACUCUUUGAGUUCAAUCUGGAACUUAACCUGCCCUGGAGCAGGUUAGCCGUUCAGCGUAUAUUGCUAUGGAGACUCGCCUCGCUAAGAAGUGAACCCGCGUCGUAGAACAGGAAACCCCGAACUUAUCCUCGAAGUUACCUCGCUAAGCAGUAAUCCUGCUUCGUAGAACAGGCCCCUGGUGUCCCUAGUUGGGGUAAAAAACAAUAUUCGGACCAAAUAGGCUCCAAAUGGAAAAAGGGCAAUGGUGUGUAGAAAAGCCCCAUCUUUCAGGGAGGACUAUUUGAAUGACUUAAAAAACAUAAAUGAUUUUAAUGCAACGUUUCAUCCACUAAAGUGAAUUACAUUAAGCACUUUUUAUGCAGUAAGGUGAUGAAAUGUGACAUGGUCUUUAUCUAAAUGCUUCCCUCUGUUCGUUUCUUUCUGUCUCCCCACACUUUGCCGUAAAGGCGACACAGAGCGUUCUCUCACCUCACUUGUCAGCUGUGCUUUUAAAAGCACAUUUGAGGUCAGUCAGGAGGCUUAAUAAAUAUGAAAAGGAAGAAAACUACAAAAUGGAUGACGAGGCAAAGUGAGCCGGUAGCUAAAACAGCAAGUCACCCUGCUGGACAGCUGAGCUAGCAAUGAAAAGAAAAACAUGGCUCGAUGGAGGAGGAAGAGCAAGGGAGAGAGAGAGGGGGAGAGCUGGAGAGGUGGGUAGAGAGAGAGAGAGAGAAAGAUGUCGAGGGAGGAAAAGUGUGUGUGUGUGUGGGGGAGAGAGGGAGUGUGUGUGUGUGUGUGCCUAUGUGUGAGCAAAAAAGAGAGAGGUGUACCUGAAGAUGCUGACCUCAUAUUAAAACUCCAGUUGAUGGGUAAGUGGAUUUUUAUACUUUACUAUUCAGUAGAACAAGAUUCAUACACUGUAAAAAGUGAGGAGGUAAGUAUUCUAGCCCAAACCUAAAACAGUCGACUUUGUUGUAAAAGAUCUUUUUAAUCCUCUCUAAACUGUUUUUCAAUCUGGAGUACGGAUCGGUGAGAGGAAGACACUGAGACAACACCACUUUGUGAUUUUAUCUUGUACUUUAUUAAGGGUAUUAUUUGUCUGUGCAGAGUCUGAGACCUCGAGAAGAACCAACAUACCAAAUAUCCAAAGUUAAGUCUGAAUGGUUUAUGCGGUCAGCCCAACUCCAGUCAUAGUCCAUAAUACUGACCCUGUUUUAGAGUCUUUUUAACCAAAACCCACUGGAAGUUUCUGUGUUAGAGAGGAUUUAUGACAGUAAACCAAGCAGGACGUUCAAUCUUUUUUUAAAGCCAUGGUUCAGGAGGAACAAUUGCCGAAUCAUCAACUUUAUGAGCGAGUUAGGAGAGCGACUGCAGACAUGAGCAGAAAUAAAUGUAUGUACAAGUACAACACUGUGAGAGAGUCCUGUGGUGCCAGCUGUGUUAUGAAACCUACAAUCCUUAAAUAGAACUGUAUAAUCAAAUAUUAUUAAACAAGUUCUCACAUUAUAUAGUGUUUACAAAAUGUUCCAUUUGUUCAAUUGAUUUUUAUUUAUUUACUUUGAUUGCACUGAUCUUAAUCUUGCUCACAUCUUGUAUCCUGUGUACACUUUGUUGUAUUUCAUGGCAGCAGCUAAAGAGAAGUUGAGAUUUUACAUCUCUCUCCAUCCAGCUCUCAUUGUUUUACUGAAUUCAGAAUAAUUCUGUGACCCAGUUUAACCUUCCUGUGACCUAGCUGCAGGUCCUGACGGAGUCUUUAAAAAGCUUGAGUGCAGAGGACUGAGCUGUAGCUAUAAAGACAGAAACUCAAAGAGAACUUUGACAGCUAACGGCAGUGUCGUCAUAACCACUGCAUCCUGACUGCUGCGAGGACCAGCGACCAACAGCUCUAAAAAAAAUGACGUUAUGAGAGGACACGUCACCUAACAGACAGGAAAAUCCUUAAAAAAAGUCAGUUUAGUUUUACAGUUCAAGUUUAGCUUCAUUGUUGUUGCACCGUCUACAACCUGUUUUAUUGCCAAAGAGGGAGCCUGUGGAUCUGAUUAUGGCUACUGAGUCCUUUCUUAGCACCUUGACCAGAUCUCCACAUUAACACUGUAGCUCUUGGCUCCCAAGUGUCUGGAGUUGUCACUGAACACUGGCCAAUGUGCAGGUUCAUAAUAGCAGGGUUUCAAUGCAGUAUUCUUUGAGUGCAUUUUACACUUCGCGCUCACUUCUGUUUGACCUGGAGACCAACAGUGGAGCUACUUCCCAGCAGUAUUUUGCCGUAAGAGGUCAAGAGGCAGACCGCCUCUGUCAGGAGUUAGCAGCUGUUUUACACCUCAUGUGGAAUGUGGCUUGUUUUUGACUCUAUCUUUUGCAAUAACAGUGGGUCACUGUCUGAUGAAUUUGUAACCUGGAUCGUAACAUCAUGCUCCAUGUGUCCUCAAAUGCUCAAUUAUGUCAGUCGUAAGAUUCUGCCAUCAACACAGGUUCUGGCGAGCAAGAGACCUGCAGCAUUAACAUGUGCCUUCUGUGUCCACAAUGAGACUCCAUCACUUUUUUAAAACACACAAUAAAUUUACAACAAACACAUUAAUAGACAAGAAGAAAAAAAAUGAAAGAAGAGAAAGCUGUUGCAGGGCGGCCCUGGUGUGGUUGGUUUCCUUGACAACCAAGGGGCGAAGCGGCAGCAGACUAUACAUAUGCUUUCGAGGAUCAUGACGAGUGGCGAGAAAAAUGUUGCAUGGACAAGUGGAUGGAGCGGCUGAUCAGCAACUUGGCUUGGACAUCAUCUGGUGAGAUAUUAAUAGACUUACUGUUGAAGAUGUAAUGGAAACACUGUGUUCACAAAGACUCAUCUCUAAAGGCUGUAUGCAGUAGUUCAUAUGGUUUUUGCUGAAUUUCUCUCGGUAUUUCUGGGAUUUUCUCCACUUCCUGGAACCACCACUUGUGCAGUAGUUUUGUACGCAUUUAGUGGGAGAGUUGCUGUGAUGAGACUCAGCUUAAACAGUGUAUCCCCCCAGUGGGCUACGCAAUCUUCAUAGGCCCAGAGGCUGUAUCAAGUGUCAAUAAGAGAAAACAUGAACCCCCCCUAAUAACUUUUAAAAUUCUAGCUGAACAGAAAAAAGAGGACUUGAGCACAAACCAGUUUUAUGGUAACUACAUGUCAACAUCGCAACCAGGGGGGAGAAACAUUUAUAUUUUGUGUAAUAAAUUUCUAAAGUCUGUCCACAGCUCCAUAAGGAUUGCUGGAGGAGGUGGAAUUCAUGAUCUAUACUGCAGCCCAUCACCAGGGUGGCUUCACCCAGCGAGGAGGCAGACAGUGUCCAUUCUAUAUACAGUUUAUGGCCCAAACAUGUUGAGAGUGUGACCUGGAAGUGUGAGUUUGAAAGUAAACAUAUUCAACCAUUCUGAGUUUAAAAGUGUCCGCUUGGCCUUAUUGCACAGUUACAGUAAAUAAAUAAAAAAAAGACAGUGUAAAAGACAGUUAAGAGAUAAGUUGCAACUACAUCUGCGCAUUCAGGAUCUUAACAGAUGUUGGGAUAAAAGAGUGUUUAAAACGGUUAAG